UACGGGAAAUACAAACAUCUAAAAAUUUGUGAUUGGUAAUCUUGAAGAGAAGAUACCACUUGUGACACAUUGGCGUAAAAGGAAGGAUAAUAUUAAAAUGUUUUUAAGGAUUUAUAUUAUGUGAGAUGAGGUCAACUACCGACUUUUGUGAAUAAGGUAAUGAAUCUUGUGGCUCUAUAAAGUUCAAAUAUAUCGUGGUCAGUUCUCAGAGUUGCAAAUAUCAAGAAGGGGCCCGCUUAAUGGGGUUAGAAUAAGUUCCCUUUGGCUGUUUUUUAUAUUCUGUGACCAAUUUACGGAAUGUGUGUGUGUACAGGAGGACAGAACGAGACAUCAGACGAGCUCAGUACCGAAAGGUAUGACCCUGCAGAAGACACGUGGACCGAAAUCCCUGCAAUGAACUUGAAUUCAUAUGACUUAAACGUAGAAGUCAUCGACGAUAUGAUCUUCGUCAUCUGUGAUUAUGAUAAAUAUGGCAUCUUCCCCCGUGUCGCAUGUUUCAAUGACAAGGAAAAUCGAUGGCAAUUGUCUUAUGUUAGCACCACUAAGCUCUGGAGCAUGUGAAAUCAGUAAGUGGAGCUAAAUGCACAGAGAAGGGAGUGUCAGAUGGAGGAAAGUUCUCAACACCAAAACUGAAAUGCGCACAAUGAGACUGGGUGGAUACAAGAGCUGAACUGAAUGGACCCUGCUGGGGAUCAAACCCACCGUUCAGUCGAUAGUCAGACAGAACUUUCAAUAGUCUACCUCAGCUCACCAAGUCAGCAUGUUCUCUGAAUCCUAUUAUAAAGCAAAAUGGAAAAUACUGAAAAUGCUUGUGUACUGUUACUACAGUCUCUAAAAUUGAAUGCAAAUGUUGACAGAUCCUGUUUAAAGGAGUUUCAAAAUCACCAUAAAUCAGACAUAAUUAAACAAAAAAUUAACUUAACCUAACUUACAACUGCAAUGCAGAAAAAAUGUACCCACACAUCAUGUAAAUGUCAGACUGUAGGGCUAGGGAAGAAGAAGAAGAAGUCACACAUUAAAAGGAAAACAAAACUAAUGUAAAUAAUACAAAUAUUACAUUCAUCUUUGUUCCAAACUGUUGGCAAGCUUCUCUGCAAAAUCCACUGCAGUUUUUAUAUUCUGUGAACGAAGCUUGUUAUUCAUAUCGUCCUUUUCCUUCUGAUAUUCAUAUGAUUUCUGAAUCACGGUCACCACAAUGAGAUAUAACACGUAAUGAAUGUAACUCAAUCCUGAUCACCAGAACGCCUACAUUAUUUUCCUGUGUCAAGCAACUUUUUGGCUGAAUUACAAAGCCUACAAAAUGAA
This is a non-coding RNA of Zootermopsis nevadensis, 1305 nucleotides long. Lineage: Eukaryota; Metazoa; Arthropoda; Insecta; Blattodea; Termopsidae. The record is from RefSeq and is a predicted model, not a curated record.